RNAcentral lists this ribosomal RNA (157 nucleotides) under Leptosphaeria sp. GUf-3. RNAcentral describes it as "5.8S ribosomal RNA". The stretch from base 1 to 122 matches the Rfam family "5.8S ribosomal RNA", at positions 33 to 154 of the family's 154-position model. From Rfam's summary of the family: 5.8S ribosomal RNA (5.8S rRNA) is a component of the large subunit of the eukaryotic ribosome. It is transcribed by RNA polymerase I as part of the 45S precursor that also contains 18S and 28S rRNA. Functionally, it is thought that 5.8S rRNA may be involved in ribosome translocation. The record is from RNAcentral. Lineage: Eukaryota; Fungi; Ascomycota; Dothideomycetes; Pleosporales; Leptosphaeriaceae.
UCGAUGAAGAACGCAGCGAAAUGCGAUAAGUAGUGUGAAUUGCAGAAUUCAGUGAAUCAUCGAAUCUUUGAACGCACAUUGCGCCCCUUGGUAUUCCAUGGGGCAUGCCUGUUCGAGCGUCAUUUGUACCUUCAAGCUCUGCUUGGUGUUGGGUGUU